Non-coding RNA from Myotis brandtii (Brandt's bat), 81 nucleotides. Lineage: Eukaryota; Metazoa; Chordata; Mammalia; Chiroptera; Vespertilionidae. The record is from Rfam.
AGGCCCAAAGAGAGAGGCAGGGUCUAAUCUGCAGCCUCCAUAGCAGCUGUUGAUUAGCUGUUGCUUCUCUCUCUCUCUCCU